Non-coding RNA from Peromyscus maniculatus bairdii (prairie deer mouse), 1424 nucleotides. NCBI's taxonomy places the organism in Eukaryota, Metazoa, Chordata, Mammalia, Rodentia, Cricetidae. The record is from RefSeq and is a predicted model, not a curated record.
UGUGGGUUCCGGCUUUUUCCCUGUAAAGAUCGCUCUAGGUUAAUAGCUCUGCUCAAGAGGCUCCAGGCAGACUGGCAAGGGCAAGAAAAAUUAUGCAGUCAAGUUUCCUGUGUUUGGGGGACAUCAGAAACCAGCACAUCCAGAGUGCAAAGAGGCAGUCUCCCCUGGGAAAACCAUCUUCUUGGUCAUGGUAGCUCCUCUUCCAGUGCCCGAGAGCUAACCGAUACAAUACCAGUCAGUGGAAGGAAGGUCCAGGACAUGAGCUUAAGAUCACCUGUUCCAUCAUGGCUCCAAGGUGGUCAGCUCUUCCAGGAAGAUGGCGUGGUACACUAGGGAGGAGCAAGCGCCUUCGUUUAAGGACACAAGAACCUGAUUAUGUGUCCCUACCCCAUCCUGAGAAGCCAAGAGCUCACAUGUAAGGAUGCUCACGCCCAGAGCCAUGGAUUCUGUCGGAAGCUGAGAAGGCUGGUGGAGCCUAUUGACAAGCAGCCCAGAGUCUUUGGCUGGUUGGUCUGAAACUGACACCUACCUGCCUUUGAUGGCAUUGAAGAGCCGAAUCCCAUCUGCAGGACCACAGACCUGCACCAGAUCGUCUCUGGACAUUUUCAGCAGAAGCAUACAGCUCGCUGCAGGUUGACAAGACAGACAGACUCUGAGGACUAGCUCAGCCCAAGACACACGGACAGACCUGCCAACCCACUGAAGGGAAGAGGAGGCCAGUGUCUCAUGGGAAGAGAGGAGAAUGACGGUUAGUAAGGAUGGCCACAGUGUGACGUCUUUAAAGACUGAGUCCCCAGAUUCCAGAUUCCCAGGGGUCUCCAGUCACUCUGUCUCUCCUCCAUUAUCUCUAUCUCAGGUGAUGUCUGGAAUAGCUCUGCGGACACAAUGGCUCCUUCCCUGCAUCCGGCCCCCGCUUUUUCUUUUCUUUGAGACAUGGUUUCAUGUAACCCUGGGUGGGCUUGAACUUCUCAUUCUUCUACCUCCUGAGCACACUGCACCCAGUUUAUGUGGUGCUGGGGCCUUGUGCAUGCCAGGCAAGCAAUCUAUUAACUGAGCUCCAGCUCCAGUCCAGAAUGGUUGGCUUUGUAUUGGGACUAAAAGCCAAUAUCCUCCCAUGGUCCUACCAGAAUCCAGGCCGCCUCCCCCUGGUGACCUGACCUCACUGCUUCCUCAGUUCACCUACCUCACAGCCUCUGCACUUUCUCUCUGCUGGCAGAGCUCUCCCCUACCACCCCCCAGCUCUCUCUAGCACUCAAGGACCCCUGGGUAAGCCCUCCUCCCCUCCCUUGCCCAGCGUAGGUCCCAGGAGCCAUGUCUCCCCUCCUUCACCCAGCACAGGUCACAGUGCACUUAAGUGGCCAGUUCCCAUGGCAGCACAGGUGCCCGGUUGUCCUUGCACUUCUACCUCUCAUUAAGAAUGCUCU